This 839-nucleotide long non-coding RNA is filed under the name Rosa chinensis. Its description in RNAcentral is "sRNA RchiOBHm_Chr7g0225611". Lineage: Eukaryota; Viridiplantae; Streptophyta; Magnoliopsida; Rosales; Rosaceae. The record is from RNAcentral.
AUGGAAACAUAUUUAUUGUUAUUGUGGCAGAGAUGUAAAGUAAAUGUAUGAUAAACACCACUAGUAUCAUAGAGUCUCCUGAGUUGCACUGGUAGCACUACAGCAAAAGUUGCACUGGUAGCACUACAGCAAAAUCAGUCUUUUACGGCGCACAUUUGACGUGCGCUGUAAAAAAUUGACAUUUACGGCGCACAUCUCAUGUGUACCGUCGAAAUAUGUUUAUUUAUGUCAUUCACGGCAUGCAUAUUAUGUGUGCCGUAAAUUUAAUUAUCUAUUAACGGCGCACACAAAUAUGUGUGCCGUAAAUGAGUUAUUUCACUAGUCUUUUACGACAUACUUUUAUAGCAUGUCGUAAAUGAAUUAAAUUAAUAUUAUCUUUUUAUUUGUUUUAUCAAAGUAUAUUACAUUUUUUUUAUUAAAAAAAGAAAAACAAAAAAGAGGGAUCUGAUUUUAACGUUAUGUUUUCUUCUCGAAGCUCCCUUCUCUCACUUCGUCUUCACCGUUCGCCUGCAAAGCUUUCAAGCUCAGUGAACUCUCUGGCGCCAAAAUCACAUCUUCUUCUUCAAAUUUGAGCUGCCAUAUUCUAUCUCUCUCUCUCUCUCUCUCUCGUGUUUACUCUCUCGAUUUGGCAGAGAUUGCAAAGUUUUUGGGCAUUACAAAUACAAUAGACACAGAAGUCAUUCAAGUUAGUAGAUUCAUAUUGAUGUUGAAUUAUUUAUUUGAGUCAUAGAUGGCUUAUGGGUGAAAUUAAUAUCUCCUUAGUGUUGCUUUACAAAUGAACUGUACUUAUUGUCUGUACAAGUACAUUAUUCUUAAUUUCUGCUUUUGCCUUGUUUGAU